UUGCUUAUUUUGACAGCACAUAUACUAAUAUUGGAAUAGUACAGAGAUAAUUAACAUGAAUCUUGUUCAAGGAUUGCACACAAAUGAAGAGUUUAAAUUUUCU
RNAcentral lists this small nuclear RNA (103 nucleotides) under Dasypus novemcinctus (nine-banded armadillo). Lineage: Eukaryota; Metazoa; Chordata; Mammalia; Cingulata; Dasypodidae. The record is from RNAcentral.